UAUUGCUUGUGUGCACCAAUCUUGUAUCUAUUAAGAACACAAAAGUAUUUGCUUCACUAGUCUGAAAUCUUGCGUAUGAAAUAAUAAAUAAUAUGAAUCGCAUUUAAACUUCUAGAUCUAGAAUCAUGAAGUGUUCGCAUAUAUGCUUCACCUCGGUCUCUCUCUUUUAUGUAAAAUCCGGUAUUUCGUUGUGCUUUCAGGAUGGUGAUUGCUUGCUACAUAUGCAAGAAAGUGGUAGUACUGUUACCAGUGACAGUCAAGACAAAUUUACAAAUCAGUGAUGUUUGCCAGUCCUUGGCAAAUGAUAAGUGCUUGACAUCAAAUGACAGAACUUUCUUUAAUCAAGUUUACUAGGAUGAAAUUCAUGAAAAAAUCCAGUUUUCUCACGGCCAAGCCAAAAACCUGGAUAGGGAUCUGGAACAUCAGAACCCUAUGCUUCUUUGGGGUGAUUGUGAGAAAGGAGAAAAGAAGAUACAGGCUAACAGGCUGGGAUGCAAGAAGCUUGCUUUGAAGGAAGACAAUGUGUGAGUGGUUCUAGAAGCAGAUGGCACAGAAGUUGAUGAAGAAGACUACUUCAGUUUUCUUCCCAGUGAUGCGACUCUGUUAUUUCUUACAAACGACGACAAGUGGAGACAUGAGAGUUCC
RNAcentral lists this long non-coding RNA (645 nucleotides) under Pomacea canaliculata. RNAcentral's name for it is "uncharacterized LOC112571870, transcript variant X2". Lineage: Eukaryota; Metazoa; Mollusca; Gastropoda; Architaenioglossa; Ampullariidae. The record is from RNAcentral.